CUCAGGACGUGAUACACUUCGCUGCCUUGCCAUGGCAACUAGAGAUUCACCCCCUGACCCUCGAACCCUGAAUUUAGAGAACUCUGCAGCCUUCACAGAAUAUGAGUCAGACUUGACAUUCGUAGGCUGUGUGGGAAUGUUAGAUCCACCCAGGAAGGAAGUGCUGAAUGCAGUGCGUAUGUGCAGACAGGCUGGUAUACGGGUCAUUAUGAUCACAGGUG
Long non-coding RNA from Sinocyclocheilus anshuiensis, 221 nucleotides. RefSeq lists it as uncharacterized. The record is from RefSeq and is a predicted model, not a curated record. Lineage: Eukaryota; Metazoa; Chordata; Actinopteri; Cypriniformes; Cyprinidae. The transcript has 2 exons.